AGAGUUUGAUCCUGGCUCAGGAUGAACGCUGGCGGCGUGCCUAACACAUGCAAGUCGAACGAAGCACCUUUUAAGAUUCUUCGGAUGAUUGAUUGGUGACUGAGUGGCGGACGGGCGAGUAACGCGUGGGUAACCUGCCCUGUACAGGGGGAUAACAGUUGGAAACGGCUGCUAAUACCGCAUAAGCGCACGAGAGGACAUCCUCUUGUGUGAAAAACUCCGGUGGUACAGGAUGGGCCCGCGUCUGAUUAGCUGGUUGGCAGGGUAACGGCCUACCAAGGCGACGAUCAGUAGCCGGUCUGAGAGGAUGAACGGCCACAUUGGAACUGAGACACGGUCCAAACUCCUACGGGAGGCAGCAGUGGGGAAUAUUGCACAAUGGGGGAAACCCUGAUGCAGCAACGCCGCGUGAGUGAAGAAGUAUUUCGGUAUGUAAAGCUCUAUCAGCAGGGAAGAUAAUGACGGUACCUGACUAAGAAGCUCCGGCUAAAUACGUGCCAGCAGCCGCGGUAAUACGUAUGGAGCAAGCGUUAUCCGGAUUUACUGGGUGUAAAGGGUGCGUAGGUGGCAGUGCAAGUCAGAUGUGAAAGGCCGGGGCUCAACCCCGGAGCUGCAUUUGAAACUGCGCGGCUAGAGUACAGGAGAGGCAGGCGGAAUUCCUAGUGUAGCGGUGAAAUGCGUAGAUAUUAGGAGGAACACCAGUGGCGAAGGCGGCCUGCUGGACUGUUACUGACACUGAGGCACGAAAGUGUGGGGAGCAAACAGGAUUAGAUACCCUGGUAGUCCACACCGUAAACGAUGAAUACUAGGUGUGCGGGGACUGACCCCCUGCGUGCCGCAGUAAACACAAUAAGUAUUCCACCUGGGGAGUACGAUCGCAAGGUUGAAACUCAAAGGAAUUGACGGGGGCCCGCACAAGCGGUGGAUAUGUGGUUUAAUUCGAAGCAACGCGAAGAACCUUACCAGGGUUUGACAUCCUGCUAACGAAGUAGAGAUACAUUAGGUGCCCUUCGGGGAAAGCAGAGACAGGUGGUGCAUGGUUGUCGUCAGCUCGUGUCGUGAGAUGUUGGGUUAAGUCCCGCAACGAGCGCAACCCCUAUUGUUAGUUGCUACGCAAGAGCACUCUAGCGAGACUGCCGUUGACAAAACGGAGGAGGGUGGGGACGACGUCAAAUCAUCAUGCCCCUUAUAUCCUGGGCUACCCACGUAAUACAAUGGCGGUCAACAGAGGGAAGCAAGGCCGCGAGGCAGAGCAAACCCCCAAAAGCCGUCCCAGUUCGGAUUGUAGGCUGCAACUCGCCUGCAUGAAGUCGGAAUCGCUAGUAAUCGCGGAUCAGCAUGCCGCGGUGAAUACGUUCCCGGGCCUUGUACACACCGCCCGUCACACCAUGAGAGUCGGGAACACCCGAAGUCCGUAGCCUAACCUGAAAAGGAGGGCGCGGCCGAAGGUGGGUUCGAUAAUUGGGGUGAAGUCGUAACAAGGUA
This 1485-nucleotide ribosomal RNA is filed under the name metagenome. RNAcentral's name for it is "bacterial SSU rRNA". It matches the Rfam family "Bacterial small subunit ribosomal RNA". The record is from RNAcentral.